GUCUACGGCCAUACCACCCUGAACAUGCCUGAUCUCGUCUGAUGUCGGAAGCUAAGCAGAGUCGGGCCUGGUUAGUACUUGGCUGGGAGAAACUACAUUAAUUCUCCCAACAUCACAGGUAUGGAUU
Molecule: ribosomal RNA, 127 nt
Organism: Erinaceus europaeus (western European hedgehog)
Lineage: Eukaryota; Metazoa; Chordata; Mammalia; Eulipotyphla; Erinaceidae
Source: Ensembl